This is a long non-coding RNA of Dendronephthya gigantea, 376 nucleotides long. RefSeq lists it as uncharacterized. The record is from RefSeq and is a predicted model, not a curated record. Lineage: Eukaryota; Metazoa; Cnidaria; Anthozoa; Malacalcyonacea; Nephtheidae. The transcript is spliced from 3 exons.
GGAGAUCGAGAGAUGAUCCAACUUUUAAAGCUGGGCAAAAACACUAUUGCUCAAAGAUUCACAUGAGAAAGCUGUUCGGAGAUGAUUCGAAACGUUUUGACAAAUUUAGUUUGUCAGUGGCUAUACCUCUGAUGGGGAAAUACUCUUGGAUUACUCAAAAAAUAUAAUUACAGAGGAAACAAUGAAACUUUUGUUUGAGCUGGCUGAAAGUAGAAAUGUUCUGGCGGCUCGGGAAAGGUUAUUUUCUUGUGAAAAGAUAAAUUUUACUGAGGUAACGAUAUAUAACCAUACCAUAUAGCUACAUCGUGUUUCAAAAACGUAAACCCUUUAUCAUCCUGUAUCAAGCCUCUUUAUAAAUACCUAUAAUUUUAUGCAC